RNAcentral lists this ribosomal RNA (447 nucleotides) under uncultured bacterium. RNAcentral's name for it is "partial 16S ribosomal RNA". It matches the Rfam family "Bacterial small subunit ribosomal RNA", at positions 29 to 523 of the family's 1533-position model. The record is from RNAcentral.
AGCGAACGCUGGCGGCAGGCUUAACACAUGCAAGUCGAACGCCCCGCAAGGGGAGUGGCAGACGGGUGAGUAACACGUGGGAACGUACCCUUUGGUUCGGAAUAACUUGGGGAAACUCAAGCUAAUACCGGAUAAGCCCUUAUGGGGAAAGGUUUACUGCCGAAGGAUCGGCCCGCGUCUGAUUAGCUAGUUGGUGAGGUAAUGGCUCACCAAGGCGACGAUCAGUAGCUGGUCUGAGUGGAGGAUCAGCCACACUGGGACUGAGACACGGCCCAGACUCCUACGGGAGGCAGCAGUGGGGAAUAUUGGACAAUGGGGGCAACCCUGAUCCAGCCAUGCCGCAUGAGUGAUGAAGGCCUUAGGGUUGUAAAGCUCUUUUACCCGGGACGAUAAUGACUGUACCGGGAGAAUAAGCCCCGGCUAACUUCGUGCCAGCCGCCGCGGUAA